UACGUAGGGUGCAAGCGUUGUCCGGAAUUAUUGGGCGUAAAGAGCUCGUAGGCGGUUUGUCGCGUCUGCUGUGAAAACGCGAGGCUCAACCUCGCGCCUGUAGUGGGUACGGGCAGACUAGAGUGCGGUAGGGGAGAUUGGAAUUCCUGGUGUAGCGGUGGAAUGCGCAGAUAUCAGGAGGAACACCGAUGGCGAAGGCAGAUCUCUGGGCCGUAACUGACGCUGAGGAGCGAAAGCGUGGGGAGCGAACAGG
RNAcentral lists this ribosomal RNA (253 nucleotides) under uncultured bacterium. RNAcentral describes it as "partial 16S ribosomal RNA". It matches the Rfam family "Bacterial small subunit ribosomal RNA", at positions 524 to 776 of the family's 1533-position model. The record is from RNAcentral.